UGGGGAAUCUUGGACAAUGGGCGAAAGCCUGAUCCAGCGACGCCGCGUGGGUGAUGAAGGCCUUCGGGUUGUAAAGCCCUUUCACCGGGGAGGAUGAUGACGUUACCCGGAGAAGAAGCACCGGCUAACUCCGUGCCAGCAGCCGCGGUAAGACGGAGGGUGCUAGCGUUGUUCGGAAUUACUGGGCGUAAAGGGUGCGUAGGCGGCCGGCCGCGUCAGAGGUGAAAGCCCGGGGCUCAACCCCGGAAUGGCCUUUGAUACGGGUCGGCUUGAGGCCGAGAGAGGAGAGUGGAAUACCCAGUGUAGAGGUGAAAUUCGUAGAUAUUGGGUGGAACACCGGUGGCGAAAGCGGCUCUCUGGCUCGGAACUGACGCUGAGGCACGAAAGCGUGGGGAGCAAACAGGAUUAGAUACCCCUGUAGUCC
Molecule: ribosomal RNA, 424 nt
Filed under: uncultured prokaryote
Description: bacterial SSU rRNA
Rfam family: Bacterial small subunit ribosomal RNA
Source: RNAcentral